AAGUCGUAACAAGGUUUCCGUAGGUGAACCUGCGGAAGGAUCAUUACUGAUUUGGCGGACCGAGCGUCAGCGAGGUUCCGCGAUCACCUGUAUUUAAAACCCACACUUUGAAUGUAAUAUGUAUAUUUUUGUAUUUUUAAUAAUAAAAAAGAUCACUUUCAACAACGGAUCUCUUGGCUCUC
RNAcentral lists this unclassified non-coding RNA (182 nucleotides) under fungal sp. RNAcentral's name for it is "partial internal transcribed spacer region". The stretch from base 1 to 46 matches the Rfam family "Eukaryotic small subunit ribosomal RNA", at positions 1786 to 1831 of the family's 1831-position model. The record is from RNAcentral. Lineage: Eukaryota; Fungi.